RNAcentral lists this long non-coding RNA (1304 nucleotides) under Neogobius melanostomus (round goby). RNAcentral describes it as "lncRNA (ENSNMLG00000017085.1)". Lineage: Eukaryota; Metazoa; Chordata; Actinopteri; Gobiiformes; Gobiidae. The record is from RNAcentral.
CGUUAAGAAGACCGUUAAGGCUGGAGCUUAUCGGUCCAGGUGGACCGGCACACGUGGCCCCGGGGCCGUUAUGAUACCGGGGUUCGGUACCCAUCCCUAGUCAUGUAGGAUCUGAGUUGGAGCCGAGUCCGAUACAACUCAAGAGGAGAGACACGAGAAAUGUCCAAAUGUUUUCCCUGAUCAUUAUUUGGAAGUGACACAUUCAUCUUAGAGCUCAAAGUCCUUUCAUCGUUUUAAAUAUGGGCGUCACGUGACUCCGAGUGAAGACGCUGGGCUUUGACAGUUUUUGUUUCACGUGGAUCUGUCCAGUCGUUACAGAAACAUUAACCAUGAACCGAGUCCAAAAUGCAGCUUCAACAAUAGGAUUCUUCGCUGCACCAAGUCAAUCUUUAGGUCGAUUGUUGCGCCUUUCUUAAUCCUGAUCCAGGCCUGGCGGUAAAAGUUUGUGAACCAUCGGCAUCAAUAAACCGAUCUUGGCAUCUCCCCUGUGCCCCACCUGCUCUGACCCGGGUCUAACGCAGUAACUGUGUGUCGUGUACUGUACUUAAGCCUUUAUAAGAAACACGUCAUGUAACUUAUUCUUAUCGUAUGUUUGUAUAGAAGCACAUUUUAGAACCUGAAGUACAUAAGAAACAAACACUAAUGACUGCAGUAACUUCUGUCACUUUAGUUCUUAGAUCUUUAACCAAACACUCCUGAUUAUUCUUAUCGUCGUUUACGCAAAUGGAGCUUCGACAAUCACCUCGUCUGUCAGAUGCCUCCCAUUCCUCUAGAGGAUGUUUUCUUCUUCUUCUUUAUCUUCAGACUUGCACAAUACAGUGGCAAGAAAAUGUAAAUACACUGUGUGGAAUUUCUCACAUUUCUGCCUAAAUUGGUCAUAAAAUGUGGUCUGAUCUUCAUAAGAAUGAGUAAACAGUGUCUGCUUAAACUAAUAUUUAGAUUUGAUCAUAUUUGUAUUGCCCAUAACAUGUAAACAUUCACAGGACAGGGAGGAGUAAGUAAGUACACCGUCUGAAUCUCACUGAACUGCAGCAGUUUUGUAAGAGGAAUGGUCCAAGAUUCAUCCUGAUCGUUUGAGCGUCUGAUCUGCAACUACAGGAAAGCAGUUAUUGCUGUAAAAGACGAGUCAGCAGAUAUUUAAUACAAGGGUUCACUUACUUAUUCUGUGAAUGUUGUGAAUGUCUCAGGUCUUUUGCAAAAUAUCUUGAUAAACUUGUGAAUUAAUUUUUCUAUUGAUGAAAUCACGUUGUCCAGGCCCUGAGGCAACAAAACAGCCCCACACCCUGAUGCUCCUGCUCCAGACU